This 400-nucleotide ribosomal RNA is filed under the name uncultured bacterium. RNAcentral's name for it is "bacterial SSU rRNA". It matches the Rfam family "Bacterial small subunit ribosomal RNA", at positions 361 to 775 of the family's 1533-position model. The record is from RNAcentral.
AUAUUGGGCAAUGGAGGGAACUCUGACCCAGCAACGCCGCGUGAGUGAAGAAGGUUUUCGGAUUGUAAAACUCUUUAAGCGGGGACGAAGAAAGUGACUGUACCCGCAGAAUAAGCAUCCGCUAACUACGUGCCAGCAGCCGCGGUAAUACGUAGGAUGCAAGCGUUAUCCGGAAUGACUGGGCGUAAAGGGUGCGUAGGUGGUUUGCCAAGUUGGCAGCGUAAUUCCGUGGCUUAACCGCGGAACUACUGCCAAAACUGGUAGGCUUGAGUGCGGCAGGGGUAUGUGGAAUUCCUAGUGUAGCGGUGGAAUGCGUAGAUAUUAGGAGGAACACCGGUGGCGAAAGCGACAUACUGGGCCGUAACUGACACUGAGGCACGAAAGCGUGGGGAGCAAACAG